CCGCCCGUCACAUCAUGAAAGCCGGUUGUACCCGAAGUCCACAUUGCUAACCGCAAGGAGGCAGUGGCCGAAGGUAUGGCUGGUGAUUGGGAUG
Molecule: ribosomal RNA, 94 nt
Filed under: uncultured bacterium
Lineage: Bacteria
Description: partial 16S ribosomal RNA
Rfam family: Bacterial small subunit ribosomal RNA
Source: RNAcentral